This 283-nucleotide long non-coding RNA is filed under the name Coffea arabica (coffee). Its description in RNAcentral is "long non-coding RNA (CARA_LNC005761)". The record is from RNAcentral. Lineage: Eukaryota; Viridiplantae; Streptophyta; Magnoliopsida; Gentianales; Rubiaceae.
UGCAACUUCCCCCCUCCUCGCCUUUGCCCCCCCAAACCCCCUCCCCUCUAAGGUCGCAACCAGAAAGUUCACGCCCCCUGGAUGCUGCUACCAGCCUCGCGGGAGUGGAGGGGCGAGACAGUGGUGGUAGUGACAGUGGAGCAGGGAGGAGACGAUUGAGGUGGUGGUGUGUGAUAGUGAUAGAUAGAAGAAGAAAAUAUAAUAAUUUUUUUUUGUAAGUUGUAUUUGAGAUUAUAUGGAUUAAGUGUUUUUGGCAGCAUUUUUGGGAUGCAUUACUGUAGCA